GUCAGGGUGGCCGAGUGGUCGAAGGCACUGCCUUCAGGUUGCAGUCUUGAAUGAGGCGUGGGUUCGAAUCCCACUCCUGACA
This is a non-coding RNA of Doryrhamphus excisus (bluestripe pipefish), 82 nucleotides long. NCBI's taxonomy places the organism in Eukaryota, Metazoa, Chordata, Actinopteri, Syngnathiformes, Syngnathidae. The record is from the annotation of a RefSeq genome assembly.